GGGGCCUGCCGGGAACUGGAGUGCGCCCCGCGGCCUUUUGCGCAGGCGCCGAAGCCACACCGCGAAGUACCGUUUUUUCAGGCACAAGGAAGGUUUCACCCCGUUGCCGAAAGACUAAGCGUCCCGUUGGCCAGUGCAACGAAGAACGGAGGAAGCGACGCAGUGGCCUUGUGUGGGCCUUCAGCUUCCAGUUCCAUGGCCUGGUGGAGGACCCUGUGGUGCAAGCCUUCCUCCAGACCCCCCUGGCCUGGGGCCCAAGACUGGGAAGCCUUUGAAGAUUUCAGUUUGUAAGUAGUGAGAGCAAUGAUCUUGGCUUUGCAUGGUGCUCAGGAAGCCUUCCCCGCUCCCAAACCAGAAAGGAAUCCAUCCAGAUUUUCCUCCACUGUCUGGAUGGCCGCUCUGUGGAUGCUUCCAUCUGUAUCCAUUGCCGGCACCUGGUGAGGGAUAUUGCUCAGCCAAAGGGCCAGCAUCCCAGUGAAGAAGAUCAGAAAGAGGCUUCCGAUUCCGUCUCUAGAGCCUUUGAGGUCACUCCUGACGCUGACAUGGCUGUGAAGAGCUGGGUGCCAGGCAUUACUGCCUCCAAGGUUGCUUUGCGAGGAAUAGGUGGGGCAUCAGGAAGAAGCCAGUUGCAGGCAAGGCCUCUGCUGAUGCUGCUUUUUUCUCCUGUACCCAUCCAUGGGAGGGAGCUGUGAGAUGGCCUGGCAGAACCCGCUCUUGGACCCCACAGAAUGAGAGGCUCACCCUGCACAGGAACAUCCUGGGGCAGCAGGCUCAGCACAUUUUAAAUUUUGAGUAUGAACAAAGUAAACUUCAGGGUUAAAAAAAAACACAAAAAUUUGUCGAGC
This 845-nucleotide long non-coding RNA is filed under the name Homo sapiens (human). RNAcentral's name for it is "non-protein coding SRRM2-AS1:4". The record is from RNAcentral. Lineage: Eukaryota; Metazoa; Chordata; Mammalia; Primates; Hominidae.